This 251-nucleotide ribosomal RNA is filed under the name uncultured prokaryote. Its description in RNAcentral is "partial 16S rRNA". It matches the Rfam family "Bacterial small subunit ribosomal RNA", at positions 525 to 775 of the family's 1533-position model. The record is from RNAcentral.
ACGAAGGUGGCGAGCGUUGUUCGGAAUUACUGGGCUUAAAGGGCGCGUAGGCGGCCCAUCAAGUGCCUUGUGAAAUCCCUCGGCUCAACCGAGGAAUUGCUUGGUAGACUGAUGGGCUUGAGGUAGGCAUGAGUGAGUGGAACUCUUGGUGGAGCGGUGGAAUGCGUAGAUAUCAAGAGGAACGCCGGCGGUGAAGACGACUCACUGGGCCUGUCCUGACGCUGAGGCGCGAAAGCCAGGGGAGCAAACGG